AUUGAACGCUGGCGGCAGGCUUAACACAUGCAAGUCGAGCGAGCGGCGGACGGGUGAGUAAUGUCUGGGAAACUGCCUGAUGGAGGGGGAUAACUACUGGAAACGGUAGCUAAUACCGCAUACCAUCAGAUGUGCCCAGAGGGGAUUAGCUAGUGGGUGGGGUAAUGGCUCACCAAGGCGACAAUCCCUAGCUGGUCGGAGAGGGUGACCGGCCACACUGGAACUGAGACACGGCCCAGACUCCUACGGGAGGCAGCAGUGGGGAAUAUUGCACAAUGGGCGCAAGCCUGAUACAGCCAUGCCGCGUGUGUGAAGAAGGCCUUCGGGUUGUAAAGCACUUUCAGCGGGGAGGCGUUACUCGCAGAAGAAGCACCGGCUAACUCCGUGCCAGCAGCCGCGGUAAUUC
Molecule: ribosomal RNA, 406 nt
Filed under: uncultured bacterium
Lineage: Bacteria
Description: partial 16S ribosomal RNA
Rfam family: Bacterial small subunit ribosomal RNA
Source: RNAcentral